Molecule: long non-coding RNA, 340 nt
Filed under: Mus pahari (shrew mouse)
Lineage: Eukaryota; Metazoa; Chordata; Mammalia; Rodentia; Muridae
Description: lncRNA (MGP_PahariEiJ_G0003945.1)
Source: RNAcentral
GAGAGCGGAAGCCGAAACUAGGCGGCUUCACAGAUCUUGCACUGGGUCCCUGUGCCUGCCAGCCAUCGAUCCAGAAUCUAAGGAUGAUGCUCCGAGUCCUACCACGGCCUGUCAGAGUUCACAUAGCUAAACCCAAAGCGCCUGCCCCUGUGACAUCAUAAAUUCAACCCACUGCUGGAGGAAUCCACGGAUACAGGAACCAUAAAUGCAGAGACAAGCUGGGAUUGCGUGUGCAGUGGGAACAGCCUCAGAAUAGCUCAUCAGCUAACAGAGCGCUGCAUCAGUGCAGACACUGAGUGUUAAUUGUCAAGUUGGAGGGACCCAGAAGCACCUGGGAGGU